Molecule: ribosomal RNA, 1514 nt
Filed under: Salmonella enterica
Lineage: Bacteria; Pseudomonadati; Pseudomonadota; Gammaproteobacteria; Enterobacterales; Enterobacteriaceae
Description: bacterial LSU rRNA
Rfam family: Bacterial large subunit ribosomal RNA
Source: RNAcentral
GGGUUGUGAGGUUAAGCGACUAAGCGUACACGGUGGAUGCCCUGGCAGUCAGAGGCGAUGAAGGGCGUGCUAAUCUGCGAUAAGCGCCGGUAAGGUGAUAUGAACCGUUAUAACCGGCGAUACCCGAAUGGGGAAACCCAGUGUGACUCGUCACACUAUCAUUAACUGAAUCCAUAGGUUAAUGAGGCGAACCGGGGGAACUGAAACAUCUAAGUACCCCGAGGAAAAGAAAUCAACCGAGAUUCCCCCAGUAGCGGCGAGCGAACGGGGAGGAGCCCAGAGCCUGAAUCAGCAUGUGUGUUAGUGGAAGCGUCUGGAAAGGCGCGCGAUACAGGGUGACAGCCCCGUACACAAAAGCGCAUGUGCUGUGAGCUCGAUGAGUAGGGCGGGACACGUGGUAUCCUGUCUGAAUAUGGGGGGACCAUCCUCCAAGGCUAAAUACUCCUGACUGACCGAUAGUGAACCAGUACCGUGAGGGAAAGGCGAAAAGAACCCCGGCGAGGGGAGUGAAAAAGAACCUGAAACCGUGUACGUACAAGCAGUGGGAGCCCCACCACCAAAGCAUUCUCUGGUGUUGAAGGCCCUGCAAAGCAGCAUCGCGGUGGCGGAGCGUCGUUUGCGACGCCCAACACACAAAACAAGCGGUGAGUGCUUUGGGGUGGGGUGACUGCGUACCUUUUGUAUAAUGGGUCAGCGACUUAUAUUCUGUAGCAAGGUUAACCGUAUAGGGGAGCCGAAGGGAAACCGAGUCUUAACUGGGCGUUAAGUUGCAGGGUAUAGACCCGAAACCCGGUGAUCUAGCCAUGGGCAGGUUGAAGGUUGGGUAACACUAACUGGAGGACCGAACCGACUAAUGUUGAAAAAUUAGCGGAUGACUUGUGGCUGGGGGUGAAAGGCCAAUCAAACCGGGAGAUAGCUGGUUCUCCCCGAAAGCUAUUUAGGUAGCGCCUCGUGAACUCAUCUUCGGGGGUAGAGCACUGUUUCGGCUAGGGGGUCAUCCCGACUUACCAACCCGAUGCAAACUGCGAAUACCGAAGAAUGUUAUCACGGGAGACACACGGCGGGUGCUAACGUCCGUCGUGAAGAGGGAAACAACCCAGACCGCCAGCUAAGGUCCCAAAGUCACAGUUAAGUGGGAAACGAUGUGGGAAGGCUCAGACAGCCAGGAUGUUGGCUUAGAAGCAGCCAUCAUUUAAAGAAAGCGUAAUAGCUCACUGGUCGAGUCGGCCUGCGCGGAAGAUGUAACGGGGCUAAACUGUGCACCGAAGCUGCGGCAGCGACGCUUAUGCGUUGUUGGGUAGGGGAGCGUUCUGUAAGCCUGCGAAGGUGUCCUGUGAGGGAUGCUGGAGGUAUCAGAAGUGCGAAUGCUGACAUAAGUAACGAUAAUGCGGGUGAAAAGCCCGCUCGCCGGAAGACCAAGGGUUCCUGUCCAACGUUAAUCGGGGCAGGGUGAGUCGACCCCUAAGGCGAGGCCGAAAGGCGUAGUCGAUGGGAAACGGGUUAAUAUUCCCGUA